AAAUAAUGUCUUGUUAGAAAAUACUGUUUAGUGUAUAUGGAUUGAAUUAUUAAAAUGAUUUUUAAAGUUUGAUGUUUAAGUAUAAAUGAAUUGAAAUAUAUUAAGUUAGGCUAUAGUAAAAAGUACCGUAAGGGAAAGAUGAAAUAAAAAAUGAAAAGUUAAUUAGUGAAAAGUAAAAGUAAAACUUUGUACCUUGUGUAUCAGGGAAAAUUAAACUUCUUUUUAUAUAAAAGUAUCCCGAAAAAAAAGAGUUAAUGUAAAAUAAAAGUUUUCGUAUUAAUGAAAUUUUUAAUUUUAUGUUAGUGGUGAAAUGCCAGUCGUUUUUUUAUAUCUGGUUGUUAGAGAAUUAAAUUUAAUUUAGUUGUUAAUUUGGGUUAAAAAAUUAAUUAACACUAAAGAAUAGGAGGGAAGAGCUUCUUAUUCUAUAAUAAACUUAUUGUAAUAAAAAAAAUAGUAGAUUUUAGAAUUAGGCUUAAAAGCAGCAAAAUUAAUAAAGCGUUCUAGCUAAUAUAAUUUUUUUAGAAUAUUAUUUAUAUUUAUAAAGUUCAAUCUUGGUAUCUAAUAGUUUUAUUUAAUGUAAAAUUAAAAGUUAAAAUGAUUUUAUUAGUAGAAAUAGUUUGUGAGAUUAAAGAGUUAAAGUAAAAAUAAGUGUUUAUAGGUUAUUAAUUUAUAAUUAAGGAACUCGGCAAAUAUUGUUUUUGCCUGUUUAUCAAAAACAUGUCUAUAUGAUUGAUAUAUAAAGUCUAGCCUGCCCACUGAUUAUAAUUGAAGGGCCGCGGUAUUUUGACCGUGCGAAGGUAGCAUAAUCAUUAGUCUUUUAAUUGAGGGCUUGUAUGAAUGGUUGGACAAAAAAUAAGCUGUCUCAGUUAUAAAAAUUGAAUUUAACUUUUAAGUGAAAAGGCUUAAAUAAUUUAGGGGGACGAUAAGACCCUAUAAAGCUUUACAAUUAUUUAAUUAAAUUAUAAAUUGUUAGUAUAAACUUAAUUUAAUUGAUGUUUGUUUCGUUGGGGCGACGAGAAUAUAAUUUAGUAACUGUUCUUUUAUAGUUUGUUACAAUAAUUUUUGGUAAAAAAUUGAUCCUUUAUUAAAGAUUAAAAGAUUAAGUUACUUUAGGGAUAACAGCGUAAUCUUCCUUGAAAGUUCAUAUCGACAGGAAGGGUUGCGACCUCGAUGUUGAAUUAAGAUUUCUCUAUGGCGCAGCAGUUAUAGUGAGAAGGUCUGUUCGACCUUUAAAUUCUUACAUGAUUUGAGUUCAGACCGGCGUGAGCCAGGUCGGUUUCUAUCUCCUAAAAAUUUAAGGUCACUUUAGUACGAAAGGAUUGGGUGACUGAAAUAAUUUUUGAAGUAAAAGAUUAACUUUAAUU
This 1364-nucleotide ribosomal RNA is filed under the name Trachypenaeus curvirostris. RNAcentral's name for it is "16S ribosomal RNA". The stretch from base 913 to 1289 matches the Rfam family "Bacterial large subunit ribosomal RNA", at positions 2073 to 2647 of the family's 2925-position model. The record is from RNAcentral. Lineage: Eukaryota; Metazoa; Arthropoda; Malacostraca; Decapoda; Penaeidae.